GGGUGAGUAACGCGUGAGUAACCUGCCCUGGAGUGGGGGACAACAGUUGGAAACGACUGCUAAUACCGCAUAAGCCCACGGAUCCGCAUGGAUCUGCGGGAAAAGGAUUUAUUCGCUUCAGGAUGGACUCGCGUCCAAUUAGCUAGUUGGUGAGGUAACGGCCCACCAAGGCGACGAUUGGUAGCCGGACUGAGAGGUUGAACGGCCACAUUGGGACUGAGACACGGCCCAGACUCCUACGGGAGGCAGCAGUGGGGGAUAUUGCACAAUGGGGGAAACCCUGAUGCAGCGACGCCGCGUGGAGGAAGAAGGCUUUCGGAUUGUAAACUCCUGUCGUUAGGGACGAUAAUGACGGUACCUAACAAGAAAGCACCGGCUAACUACGUGCCAGCAGCCGCGGUAAAACGUAGGGUGCAAGCGUUGUCCGGAAUUACUGGGUGUAAAGGGAGCGCAGGCGGACCGGCAAGUUGGAAGUGAAAACUAUGGGCUCAACCCAUAAAUUGCUUUCAAAACUGCUGGCCUUGAGUAGUGCAGAGGUAGGUGGAAUUCCCGGUGUAGCGGUGGAAUGCGUAGAUAUCGGGAGGAACACCAGUGGCGAAGGCGACCUACUGGGCACCAACUGACGCUGAGGCUCGAAAGCAUGGGUAGCAAACAGGAUUAGAUACCCUGGUAGUCCAUGCCGUAAACGAUGAUUACUAGGUGUUGGAGGAUU
Molecule: ribosomal RNA, 712 nt
Filed under: uncultured bacterium
Lineage: Bacteria
Description: bacterial SSU rRNA
Rfam family: Bacterial small subunit ribosomal RNA
Source: RNAcentral